RNAcentral lists this ribosomal RNA (877 nucleotides) under uncultured organism. RNAcentral describes it as "bacterial SSU rRNA". It matches the Rfam family "Bacterial small subunit ribosomal RNA", at positions 583 to 1462 of the family's 1533-position model. The record is from RNAcentral.
GUCAGUCAGAGGUGAAAGCCCACAGCUUAACUGUGGAACUGCCUUUGAUACUGCCGAUCUUGAGUGCGGGAGAGAGAAACGGAAUUCCAGGUGUAGUGGUGAAAUACGUAGAUAUCUGGAAGAACACCGGUUGCGAAGGCGGCUUCUUUGGACCGACACUGACGCUGAGGCGCGAAAGCGUGGGGAGCGAACAGGAUUAGAUACCCUGGUAGUCCACGCUGUAAACGAUGAAUGUUAGAUGUCGGGGGAUUUUUCCUUCGGCGUCAAAGUUAACGCAUUAAACAUUCCACCUGGGAAGUACGAUCGCAAGGUUGAAACUCAAAGGAAUUGACGGGGGCCCGCACAAGCAGUGGAGCAUGUGGUUUAAUUCGAUGCAACGCGAAGAACCUUACCUAGGCUUGAAAUGUGUUCGAUCGGUCGUGAAAGCGACCUUCCUUCGGGCGGACACACAGGUGCUGCAUGGCUGUCGUCAGCUCGUGCCGCGAGGUGUUGGGUUAAGUCCCGCAACGAGCGCAACCCCUACCAUUAGUUGCCACCGGGUAAUGCCGAGCACUCUAAUGGAACUGCCUACGCAAGUAGUGAGGAAGGUGGGGACGACGUCAAGUCCGCAUGGCCCUUACGCCUAGGGCUACACACGUGCUACAAUGGGCGCAACAAUGGGCAGCGACACCGCGAGGUGGAGCGAAUCCCUAAAAAGCGUCCUCAGUUCGGAUUGGAGUCUGCAACUCGACUUCAUGAAGUUGGAAUUGCUAGUAAUCGCGUAUCAGCAUGACGCGGUGAAUACGUUCCCGGGCCUUGUACACACCGCCCGUCAAGCCAUGGAAGCCGGGGGUACCCAAAGAUAGCGACCCAACCUUCGGGAAGGAGCUAUUUAAGG